GAUGAACGCUGGCGGCGUGCCUAAUACAUGCAAGUCGAGCGAACAGACGAGGAGCUUGCUCCUCUGACGUUAGCGGCGGACGGGUGAGUAACACGUGGAUAACCUACCUAUAAGACUGGGAUAACUUCGGGAAACCGGAGCUAAUACCGGAUAACAUGUUGAACCGCGUGGUUCAACAGUGAAAGACGGUUUUGCUGUCACUUAUAGAUGGAUCCGCGUCGCAUUAGCUAGUUGGUAAGGUAACGGCUUACCAAGGCAACGAUGCGUAGCCGACCUGAGAGGGUGAUCGGCCACACUGGAACUGAGACACGGUCCAGACUCCUACGGGAGGCAGCAGUAGGGAAUCUUCCGCAAUGGGCGAAAGCCUGACGGAGCAACGCCGCGUGAGUGAAGAAGGUCUUCGGAUCGUAAAACUCUGUUAUUAGGGAAGAACAAAUGUGUAAGUAACUAUGCACGUCUUGACGGUACCUAAUCAGAAAGCCACGGCUAACUACGUG
RNAcentral lists this ribosomal RNA (497 nucleotides) under uncultured bacterium. Its description in RNAcentral is "partial 16S ribosomal RNA". It matches the Rfam family "Bacterial small subunit ribosomal RNA", at positions 28 to 507 of the family's 1533-position model. The record is from RNAcentral.